GUAGGUGGCAAGCGUUGUCCGGAAUUAUUGGGCGUAAAGCGCGCGCAGGCGGUUCUUUAAGUCUGAUGUGAAAGCCCACGGCUCAACCGUGGAGAGUCAUUGGAAACUGGAGAACUUGAGUACAGAAGAGGAAAGCGGAAUUCCACGUGUAGCGGUGAAAUGCGUAGAGAUGUGGAGGAACACCAGUGGCGAAGGCGGCUUUCUGGUCUGUAACUGACGCUGAGGCGCGAAAGCGUGGGGGAGCAAACAGGAUUAGAUACCCUGGUAGUCCACGCCGUAAACGAUGAGUGCUAAGUGUUAGGGGGUUUCCGCCCUUAGUGCUGCAGCUAACGCAUUAAGCACUCCGCCAGGGAGUACGGCCGCAAGGCUGA
This 371-nucleotide ribosomal RNA is filed under the name uncultured organism. RNAcentral's name for it is "partial 16S ribosomal RNA". It matches the Rfam family "Bacterial small subunit ribosomal RNA", at positions 527 to 897 of the family's 1533-position model. The record is from RNAcentral.